RNAcentral lists this ribosomal RNA (467 nucleotides) under uncultured bacterium. Its description in RNAcentral is "partial 16S ribosomal RNA". It matches the Rfam family "Bacterial small subunit ribosomal RNA", at positions 28 to 506 of the family's 1533-position model. The record is from RNAcentral.
GACGAACGCUGGCGGCGUGCUUAACACAUGCAAGUCGAACGGAAAGGCCCUGCUUUUGUGGGGUGCUCGAGUGGCGAACGGGUGAGUAACACGUGAGUAACCUGCCCUUGACUUUGGGAUAACUUCAGGAAACUGGGGCUAAUACCGGAUAGGAGCUCCUGCUGCAUGGUGGGGGUUGGAAAGUUUCGGCGGUUGGGGAUGGACUCGCGGCUUAUCAGCUUGUUGGUGGGGUAGUGGCUUACCAAGGCUUUGACGGGUAGCCGGCCUGAGAGGGUGACCGGCCACAUUGGGACGGAGAUACGGCCCAGACUCCUACGGGAGGCAGCAGUGGGGAAUAUUGCACAAUGGGCGGAAGCCUGAUGCAGCAACGCCGCGUGCGGGAGGACGGCCUUCGGGUUGGAAACCGCUUUCGCCUGUGACGAAGCGUGAGUGACGGUAAUGGGUAAAGAAGCACCGGCUAACUACGU